GGGCAACCCGAUAUUUUGUGUCCAGUGCGCGAAAACUUUUCCGGUUCUGCCCCAAUCUCUGCGUCUCUUCCAAUCAAACAUUAUUUCAGGAAAUAGGUAAAUUCCAAAAUAAGAUGAAAGAGCACGGUU
This is a non-coding RNA of Caenorhabditis elegans, 129 nucleotides long. The record is from Ensembl. Lineage: Eukaryota; Metazoa; Nematoda; Chromadorea; Rhabditida; Rhabditidae.